RNAcentral lists this long non-coding RNA (666 nucleotides) under Ananas comosus (pineapple). RNAcentral describes it as "long non-coding RNA (ACOM_LNC015664)". Lineage: Eukaryota; Viridiplantae; Streptophyta; Magnoliopsida; Poales; Bromeliaceae. The record is from RNAcentral.
AAAGUUAUAAAUUUGCUUGUUUUUAGCUCAUUAAUUUAUUACAACAAUAGUGGUAGUGAAAGCAUGCGAGGGGUAGAAUUUUCCCUACGCGGUCUCAAACACGGAACGUAACUAAACUACCAAUAGAUUCGCGACACGUGUGAUAACAGAGAACAGUUUUCCGCGGCGAGGAGAACGGCGAUCCGAACGGCCGCGGGACGGUUCGGGACCGCCGAUUUUUGGGGUAAAUUGCAACACUUGUCCCUCUACUUUUCGUUAUUUGUCGCUGUAGUCCUCGGUUUUUAGUAUUCUUUGUUGGCAGUCCUCAAAUUUUAGUCCUUUCUCAUUAUUUCUUUUUUGAAAAUUUAUUAUUGCUUACACUUUCUGCAUCUAUAUUUUUUAUGUAACGUGCAUUUGUUGAUGAUCACAAAUCUCUAAUAUCAAAACGUAUUAAAAAUCGAGAGGUAGUUUUCUUUCAAAUUCUAAAAAUUGAAUUUAAAGUAUUAUUAUACAAAUGAAAAGAUAACGAAAAAGAUAAUUUAUUAUAAGGUGUAUAAAUAGUUUGAAUGUUAAACUUAAGAAGUUCGAGAACUAAAAUAAAACUUGAGCAGAAGUUUAAGAAUCAUUCCAUAGCUCGAAAGUGGGAUUUAAAAGUUUAAAUAUUAAAAAUGAAACACGACUAGAAGU